Non-coding RNA from Phrynosoma platyrhinos (Desert horned lizard), 71 nucleotides. The record is from the annotation of a GenBank genome assembly. NCBI's taxonomy places the organism in Eukaryota, Metazoa, Chordata, Lepidosauria, Squamata, Phrynosomatidae.
GCCAGUGUGGCUUAGUGGGUUGAGUGUUACACUAUGUCUCUGGAGGCCAGGGUUUGAUUCCCAGCUUGCCA